Molecule: long non-coding RNA, 1038 nt
Organism: Physcomitrium patens
Lineage: Eukaryota; Viridiplantae; Streptophyta; Bryopsida; Funariales; Funariaceae
Source: RefSeq, a predicted model, not a curated record
CCUCCACCACACCACAGCCUUCCUUUCUUCUGGAAACCCUAGUUUGGGAGGAGGCACUUCGUUGUGGCCUGGGGGCUCUGCUUCUCGGUUUAGAUUGGUAGCGAAGCGAUGGCUCGCAGGUUAGAAUUUGGAAGUGCUCGUGGUGAGCGGGAGGAGACGAGAAAAGCAAUUUUCUAAACCCAUCAACUUCCGGGAUGGGAUGGGAUGAGAUGAGCUCCAUUGGAUGCCUGGCAACAGCCUUACGGCUGCUCACGUUGCGACCUUUUGUUGGAAAGCCCGAGCUUUGAGAGCUUUGGGAGCUUCGGUGGCUGGGUAUUUUGUACUAUAGCUCUUUCUACUUAUUACAAAAGCCUAUAACCGUCAUACAAGCACGAUUAUCCUAUUGUAAAUGAGAUGAGGUUGAGGUAUCGCAGAGCGAAUGGUUUCGAAGUGACUCUUUUCCUCCCACCAGCGUAUUUCCAAAGUUGGUGCGUCCAGAAUUACUCUGUCACUACUUCCUGAAAACAAGACAACUCGUGGCGAAGUGAGGGUGUUGGCUAGUUGUGGAGCGCAGCCGGUGGCCAUCACGAGGGUGGGAAGAGAGCAGUGAACCAGAAGUGUAGGGUAGUUGGAGCGAGUCCCAAAGUCUAAGUUUGGGCUCUUCAAAUACCAAACUACAAGGGGACUGUGGGACGGUGGGUGAUGCAAUUAGAAUGGAGCAAGAGAGUCUAGUGCGUGGUAAGCAGGAUCUGGAGGGGGGUUGUCAAGAAGCUAAAUUCUGCCGUGGGAUGCUAUUCCUGGGCUCUACUGAUUGCUUCAUUGAAAGUGCAGUCCUCGCCAAACUCUCCAAGUUGACAGACCUUGAGAAUUGCGCUUCAAUCGGUUGGAAAAGUCCAUGCACCUUUCGUACACGUGGAUUUAGUUGGCAAAUUGUAGAGACCCAAGUUUGCCAUUGUUGUUGGUGCAACAACCCCAAAGCCACCCAUGAGCUUUUCAAUGGUGAAAAACCUGUGUCAGUUCAAUUUCCAGCAUAUGAAACCAAUAAGAGUUUUUAAUUAA